Molecule: ribosomal RNA, 508 nt
Filed under: uncultured bacterium
Lineage: Bacteria
Description: partial 16S ribosomal RNA
Rfam family: Bacterial small subunit ribosomal RNA
Source: RNAcentral
GAUGAACGCUAGCUACAGGCUUAACACAUGCAAGUCGAGGGGAAACGAUAUUGGAAGCUUGCUUCCGAUAGGCGUCGACCGGCGCACGGGUGAGUAACGCGUAUCCAACCUGCCCAUCACUUGGGGAUAACCUUGCGAAAGUAAGACUAAUACCCAAUGAUAUCUCCAGAAGACAUCUGAAAGGGAUUAAAGAUUUAUCGGUGAUGGAUGGGGAUGCGUCUGAUUAGCUUGUUGGCGGGGUAACGGCCCACCAAGGCGACGAUCAGUAGGGGUUCUGAGAGGAAGGUCCCCCACAUUGGAACUGAGACACGGUCCAAACUCCUACGGGAGGCAGCAGUGAGGAAUAUUGGUCAAUGGACGAGAGUCUGAACCAGCCAAGUAGCGUGCAGGAUGACGGCCCUAUGGGUUGUAAACUGCUUUUAUAAGGGAGUAAAGUGAGCCUCGUGAGGCUUUUUGCAUGUACCUUAUGAAUAAGGACCGGCUAAUUCCGUGCCAGCCGCCGCCGUAA